Molecule: ribosomal RNA, 594 nt
Filed under: Nocardioides sp. CATR-114
Lineage: Bacteria; Bacillati; Actinomycetota; Actinomycetes; Propionibacteriales; Nocardioidaceae
Description: bacterial SSU rRNA
Rfam family: Bacterial small subunit ribosomal RNA
Source: RNAcentral
GGCUUCGACGGGUAGCCGGCCUGAGAGGGUGACCGGCCACACUGGGACUGAGGACACGGCCCAGACUCCUACGGGAGGCAGCAGUGGGGAAUAUUGGACAAUGGGCGGAAGCCUGAUCCAGCAACGCCGCGUGAGGGAUGACGGCCUUCGGGUUGUAAACCUCUUUCAGCACCGACGAAGCGCAAGUGACGGUAGGUGCAGAAGAAGGACCGGCCAACUACGUGCCAGCAGCCGCGGUAAUACGUAGGGUCCGAGCGUUGUCCGGAAUUAUUGGGCGUAAAGGGCUCGUAGGCGGUUUGUCGCGUCGGGAGUGAAAACACCGGGCUUAACUCGGUGCUUGCUUUCGAUACGGGCAGACUUGAGGUAUGCAGGGGAGAACGGAAUUCCUGGUGUAGCGGUGAAAUGCGCAGAUAUCAGGAGGAACACCGGUGGCGAAGGCGGUUCUCUGGGCAUUACCUGACGCUGAGGAGCGAAAGUGUGGGGAGCGAACAGGAUUAGAUACCCUGGUAGUCCACACCGUAAACGUUGGGCGCUAGGUGUGGGAUCCAUUCCACGGGUUCCGUGCCGUAGCUAACGCAUUAAGCGCCCCGCCUG